UUUGAUGGGGAUACCACCCUGAACGCGCCUGAUCUCGUCUGAUCUCGGAAGCUAAGCAGGGUCGGGCCUGGUUAGUACUUGGAUGAGUUCAUUAUGAAUACUUUGGUUAACAACCAGUCACCUACUGAAC
RNAcentral lists this ribosomal RNA (130 nucleotides) under Peromyscus maniculatus bairdii (prairie deer mouse). The record is from RNAcentral. Lineage: Eukaryota; Metazoa; Chordata; Mammalia; Rodentia; Cricetidae.